GAGUUUGAUCCUGGCUCAGGACGAACGCUGGCGGCGUGCUUAACACAUGCAAGUCAAGGAGAAAGGGAAUCUUCGGAAUCCUGAGUAGACUGGCGAACGGGUGAGUAACACGUAGGUAACCUGCCCACGAGAUAGGGAUAACUUUGCUAACGCGGAGCUAAUACCUGAUAAUAUCCCGACAACACAUGUUGUCGAGAUCAAAGCUGCCUUCGGGUAGUACUUGUGGAUGGACCUGCGCCCCAUUAGCUUGUUGGUAAGGUAGUGGCUUACCAAGGCGACGAUGGGUAGCCGGCCUGAGAGGGUGACCGGCCACACUGGGACUGAGAUACGGCCCAGACUCCUACGGGAGGCAGCAGUGAGGAAUAUUGCGCAAUGGGCGAAAGCCUGACGCAGCAACGCCGCGUGGAUGAUGAAGCUCUAAGGAGUGUAAAGUCCUGUUAGAAGGGAAGAACAGUACCGACAUGAAUAAUGUCGGUAUUUGACGGUACCUUCAGAGAAGGCCCCGGCUAACUCCGUGCCAGCAGCCGCGGUAAUACGGGGGGGGCAAGCGUUGUCCGGAAUUAUUGGGCGUAAAGAGCGCGUAGGCGGGACAGUAUGUCAGAAGUGAAAACCAUGGACUUAACUCAUGGCCUGCUUUUGAAACUGCUGUUCUUGAGUACGGUAGAGGGAAGUGGAAUUCCUGGUGUAGCGGUGAAAUGCGUAGAUAUCAGGAAGAACACCGGUAGCGAAGGCGGCUUCCUGGACCGUAACUGACGCUGAGGCGCGAAAGCGUGGGGAGCAAACAGGAUUAGAUACCCUGGUAGUCCACGCCGUAAACGAUGGGCACUAGGUGUUGGUUUGUGAUUAGCAGAUCAGCGCCGAAGCUAACGCAUUAAGUGCCCCGCCUGGGGAGUACGAUCGCAAGGUUGAAACUCAAAGGAAUUGACGGGGGCCCGCACAAGCGGUGGAGCAUGUGGUUUAAUUCGAUGCA
RNAcentral lists this ribosomal RNA (970 nucleotides) under uncultured Deferribacteres bacterium. RNAcentral describes it as "bacterial SSU rRNA". It matches the Rfam family "Bacterial small subunit ribosomal RNA", at positions 9 to 958 of the family's 1533-position model. Lineage: Bacteria; Pseudomonadati; Deferribacterota; Deferribacteres. The record is from RNAcentral.